UUUAUACUGUGAAACUGCGAAUGGCUCAUUAAAUCAGUUAUCGUUUAUUUGAUAGUACCUUACUACAUGGAUACCUGUGGUAAUUCUAGAGCUAAUACAUGCUACAAACCCCGACUUCAGGAAGGGGUGUAUUUAUUAGAUAAAAAACCAACGCCCUUCGGGGCUCCUUGGUGAAUCAUAAUAACUUAACGAAUCGCAUGGCCUUGCGCCGGCGAUGGUUCAUUCAAAUUUCUGCCCUAUCAACUUUCGAUGGUAGGAUAGUGGCCUACCAUGGUGGCAACGGGUAACGGGGAAUUAGGGUUCGAUUCCGGAGAGGGAGCCUGAGAAACGGCUACCACAUCCAAGGAAGGCAGCAGGCGCGCAAAUUACCCAAUCCCGAUACGGGGAGGUAGUGACAAUAAAUACUGAUACGGGGCUCUUUCGGGUCUCGUAAUUGGAAUGAGAACAAUUUAAAUCCCUUAACGAGGAACAAUUGGAGGGCAAGUCUGGUGCCAGCAGCCGCGGUAAUUCCAGCUCCAAUAGCGUAUAUUAAAGUUGUUGCAGUUAAAAAGCUCGUAGUUGAACCUUGGGCCUGGCUGGCCGGUCCGCCUCACCGCGAGUACUGGUCCGGCUGGGCCUUUCCUUCUGGGGAACCUCAUGGCCUUCACUGGCUGUGGGGGGAACCAGGACUUUUACUGUGAAAAAAUUAGAGUGUUCAAAGCAGGCCUUUGCUCGAAUACAUUAGCAUGGAAUAAUAGAAUAGGACGUGCGGUUCUAUUUUGUUGGUUUCUAGGACCGCCGUAAUGAUUAAUAGGGAUAGUCGGGGGCGUCAGUAUUCAGCUGUCAGAGGUGAAAUUCUUGGAUUUGCUGAAGACUAACUACUGCGAAAGCAUUCGCCAAGGAUGUUUUCAUUAAUCAGGGAACGAAAGUUAGGGGAUCGAAGACGAUCAGAUACCGUCGUAGUCUUAACCAUAAACUAUGCCGACUAGGGAUCGGACGGGAUUCUAUGAUGACCCGUUCGGCACCUUACGAGAAAUCAAAGU
This 1022-nucleotide ribosomal RNA is filed under the name Penicillium citrinum. Its description in RNAcentral is "SSU rRNA". It matches the Rfam family "Eukaryotic small subunit ribosomal RNA", at positions 73 to 1104 of the family's 1831-position model. Lineage: Eukaryota; Fungi; Ascomycota; Eurotiomycetes; Eurotiales; Aspergillaceae. The record is from RNAcentral.